CCUACGGGGGGCAGCAGUGGGGAAUAUUGCACAAUGGGGGAAACCCUGAUGCAGCGACGCCGCGUGAAGGAAGAAGUAUUUCGGUAUGUAAACUUCUAUCAGCAGGGAAGAAAAUGACGGUACCUGACUAAGAAGCCCCGGCUAACUACGUGCCAGCAGCCGCGGUAAUACGGAGGGGGCAAGCGUUAUCCGGAUUUACUGGGCGUAAAGGGAGCGUAGGCGGUUUAGCAAGUCAGAAGUGAAAGCCCGGGGCUCAACUCCGGGACUGCUGUUGAAACUGUUGAACUAGAGUGCAGGAGAGGUAGGCGGAAUUCGUAGUGUAGCGGUGAAAUGCGUAGAUAUUAGGAGGAACACCAGUGGCGAAGGCGGCUUACUGGACUGUAAAUGACGCUGAGGCUCGAAAGCGUGGGGAGCAAACAGGAUUAGAUACCCUUGUAGUC
Molecule: ribosomal RNA, 440 nt
Filed under: uncultured bacterium
Lineage: Bacteria
Description: partial 16S ribosomal RNA
Rfam family: Bacterial small subunit ribosomal RNA
Source: RNAcentral